ACGGGAUCGGGGGGUUCCCACCAGCGCGGCAUCCAUACGGUCGCCAGACCGGCGCGCAGGGGCCAAUGGCGAGAUCGACCCUGUCCGGU
This 89-nucleotide non-coding RNA is filed under the name unclassified sequences. RNAcentral describes it as "c-di-GMP sequence". It matches the Rfam family "c-di-GMP-II-GAG riboswitch aptamer". The record is from Rfam by way of RNAcentral.